AGCUACAGUUAGUUUGACUGGUUGAGAAAAGACGAGCUAGUAGCUUUAAUCCGGUUUUCCAGGUUACAAGACAUGGUUUGUAUGAAUUGUCAUCAUUUUCCCAAAAGAAGGCAUAUGUAUUUUCACAGCGUUGGAGAGUAAGGAGGGGGGGCUUAGAUAAGAAUCAGCCACACACACAAAAGUAAAUUAUAGAGCAGUCUUGAGUAAUGUUUUGAUAAUUAUCACAGACACAGAAAGGAGCUCUGUCGGUGAGGGAUCCUGAGGAAAAGCAACAGCACACACACAGGAAAAGAAUAGCCGGAUUCGGUCUAAGAUGAGGGGCCGCACCCUCAUGUAACUGGGGAUGAGCAUGCUGGAAAGUGCCAAGGUUUGUCGUAUCUUAUAGGAUAUGACUUGGGUAGAUCCGGGAUAAAAGGAAGGAAAGAAAAGUGACAGGUCAGACAGGAAGCUGAAAUGACCCGUCAGAGCCCUGAGAGAAAAACACGGAUAUCAAAUGAGUAGACCACCCAAAUGAAUUAGCACAGCCUGUCGGACAAACAAACAGACCUUCAGUGGAGCAAUGAACCAAAAUGGAAGUUUAUUCAUAUUUACUCCACUUACAGAUUGGAUUUCUCUCAGGAGGAAAAAUAAAUAGGGGUCAAACAAGAGUUAACCACAAUCCCUGAGGAAGCAAGGACUCAUGAUUUGAUUGUUAAAGGAUGCCGGAGACCUCCAGAGAGCCCGAGAGGAAGCCAUCACUCAUCAAGCUGUUCAAAAUACUUAUGUUGUCUGUUUUAUGAACUAUAUCUAUACGUGAUGAGUCACAGUAAACUGUACUGUGUGACAGUUACAUUUCAGUGGAUAUAAAACACUGUACACUAAGAUGCAAGUUUUUGAUAACAUAACAUCUUUUAAGCUGUUAUAUAACUUAAAAGUUUAAAACAUUCAAACAUUUUCUUGGUUCCCAUGAGGGGAAAUGCUUUUUGGCUAGGGGUUAUAGGUCUGUGGGUAAGAGUUAGGCUUUAGAAAAUGAAUGGAAGUCAAUGUAAAGUUCCCACAGUGAAAAAAAUGUGCGUGUGUGUGUGAAGUUAAAUCAAAGGAUGAUUCAAUGCAGCAUUUAAGGAUGCAUAUGCAACCUGAUCAUUGCAGCCUUUUUACAUUUUUCUCUGGAUCAGUUUCAGUUGAAUUGUGCAGGGUGCAUGUUACAUUCAGAGUACAGAAAAGUCCUAAAAUGGUUAUUCUGGUGUAAUUUGUUACACUACAUAAACACCCCAUUUUGACAGAGGUGUGUAAACUGUUUAUGCACACAUAAACCUUUUGCGGUUUAUAUGUGCAUAAACUGCAUAAGGUCAUAGUUUUUUCUUGAUGAUGCAGCAACAAUCAAUAACACUUAAGGAUCUUUUAUCUUCAUGUUUUAUUGUAGACAAGUCAGAGAUUUCUGCCAGCUGGUCUUUAAGAAAAUUAUUUAUGGCUAAGCUGUUUUUCCUCCCCUGAUGCAUCUCAAAUGUACAGAUGCUUAAAAAAAA
Long non-coding RNA from Poecilia latipinna (sailfin molly), 1505 nucleotides. RefSeq lists it as uncharacterized. NCBI's taxonomy places the organism in Eukaryota, Metazoa, Chordata, Actinopteri, Cyprinodontiformes, Poeciliidae. The transcript has 2 exons. The record is from RefSeq and is a predicted model, not a curated record.